This 1333-nucleotide ribosomal RNA is filed under the name uncultured organism. RNAcentral's name for it is "partial 16S ribosomal RNA". It matches the Rfam family "Bacterial small subunit ribosomal RNA", at positions 45 to 1415 of the family's 1533-position model. The record is from RNAcentral.
UGCUUAAUGCAUGCAAGUCGUACGCGCCAAACUUCGGUUUGGUGAGUGGCGCACGGCUGAGUAACACGUGGGUCAUCUGCCCCGGUGUGGGGGACAACGGGUCGAAAGAUCCGCUAAUCCCGCAUACGGUCUCUUCGGAGAAGAAAGCCUUCGGGCGCACUGGGAUGAGCCUGCGGCCCAUCAGGUUGUUGGUGUGGUAAAAGCGCACCAAGCCGAUGACGGGUACCUGGUCUGAGAGGACGAUCAGGCAGACUGGGACUGAGACACGGCCCAGACUCCUACGGGAGGCAGCAGCAAGGAAUUUUCCGCAAUGGGCGCAAGCCUGACGGAGCAACGCCGCGUGCAGGAGGACGGCCUUCGGGUUGUAAACUGCUUUUGCUGGGGACGAUAUGGACGGUACCUGGCGAAUAAGCCCCGGCUAACUCCGUGCCAGCAGCCGCGGUAAUACGGAGGGGGCAAGCGUUGUCCGGACUUACUGGGCGUAGAGCGCACGUAGGCGGCGUCGUGCGUCGGCACUGAAAGCGCUCGGCUUAACCGAGCGAGGCGUGUCGAUACGACGAUGCUUGAGGCAAUGAGAGGUUGGUAGAAUUCCGGGUGUAGUGGUGAAAUGCGUAGAUAUUACACAGAACACCAAUUGCGAAGGCAGCUUACCAAACUAUUAUUGACGCUGAAGCACGAAAGCGUGGGUAGCGAACAGGAUUAGAUACCCUGGUAGUCCACGCCGUAAACUAUGCUCACUCGCUGUUGGCAAUACAUGGUCAGCGGCUAAGGGAAACCGAUAAGUGAGCCACCUGGGGAGUACGAUCGCAAGAUUGAAACUCAAAGGAAUUGACGGGGGCCCGCACAAGCGGAGGAACAUGUGGUUUAAUUCGAUGAUACGCGAGGAACCUUACCUGGGCUUAAAUGUAGAGUGCAUUACGUAGAAAUAUGUAUUUCCUUCGGGACUCUUUACAAGGUGCUGCAUGGUUGUCGUCAGCUCGUGCCGUGAGGUGUCGGGUUAAGUCCCAUAACGAGCGCAACCCCUAUUGUUAGUUACCAGCGCGUAAAGGCGGGGACUCUAGCGAAACUGCCGGUGUAAACCGCGAGGAAGGUGGGGAUGACGUCAAAUCAGCACGGCCCUUAUGUCCAGGGCUACACACGUGUUACAAUGGCCGGUACAGUGGGCAGCCACAUAGCGAUAUGGAGCUAAUCUCAAAAGCCGGUCUCAGUUCGGAUUGGAGUCUGCAACCCGACUCCAUGAAGGUGGAUUCGCUAGUAAUCGCGCAUCAGCCAUGGCGCGGUGAAUACGUUCCCGGGCCUUGUACACACCGCCCGUCAAGCCAUGGAAGUUUGG